Molecule: ribosomal RNA, 467 nt
Filed under: uncultured bacterium
Lineage: Bacteria
Description: partial 16S ribosomal RNA
Rfam family: Bacterial small subunit ribosomal RNA
Source: RNAcentral
ACGAACGCUGGCGGCGUGCUUAACACAUGCAAGUCGAACGGAAAGGCCCUGCUUUUGUGGGGUGCUCGAGUGGCGAACGGGUGAGUAACACGUGAGUAACCUGCCCUUGACUUUGGGAUAACUUCAGGAAACUGGGGCUAAUACCGGAUAGGAGCUCCUGCUGCAUGGUGGGGGUUGGAAAGUUUCGGCGGUUGGGGAUGGACUCGCGGCUUAUCAGCUUGUUGGUGGGGUAGUGGCUUACCAAGGCUUUGACGGGUAGCCGGCCUGAGACGGUGACCGGCCACAUUGGGACUGAGCUACGGCCCAGACUCCUACGGGAGGCAGCAGUGGGGAAUAUUGCACAAUGGGCGGAAGCCUGAUGCAGCAACGCCGCGUGCGGGAUGACGGCCUUCGGGUUGUAAACCGCUUUCGCCUGUGACGAAGCGUGAGUGACGGUAAUGGGUAAAGAAGCACCGGCUAACUACGUG